Caretta caretta (loggerhead turtle) is the source of this 3005-nucleotide long non-coding RNA. RefSeq lists it as uncharacterized. Lineage: Eukaryota; Metazoa; Chordata; Testudines; Cheloniidae. The record is from RefSeq and is a predicted model, not a curated record.
GGAGGGGAGAAGGGAGGGGGAGGGAGGGGGUUAGGGAGCAGCAUCCCCAGCGGAGCUGCCGCCCGGGAGGAAGGGGAAUCGCUUCUGGAGGAAAGGCUGGAGGGUCCGCAGCGCCGAUCACGCCAGCUGUGCCCGGGAGGUGGGGCAGAGGCUUGCCCGGGACCGUCCCACUCCAGCGGCUGCGUGCGGGGAGGAGGCGUGAGAGGAGCCCUCAAGGGCAGGCUGGCGCAAGGCACCCCGGCGCCAGGGCUGGAGAGGCCAGCCCCAGGCGGCGGUGCCGGUCCUCUUCCCAGACCGGAUCGGAGCGAUACUCCAGCCCCAGAGCACGCCCCGGGCACUCACAGGGCUCCGCUGGGUUUCAUCGCGGGGACCAACUUCUCUUAAAAAAUGAAUUGUGCCUAGCUAAAGGACUCAAACCGGGCGCUUUGCGGCCUCGGCCCUCAGCCGCUCCCCGCGGAAAGAGCCAGGCUGAAGUCAGGUGGCUGGAGACAGCCGAUGCUCGCGAAGAAGAUCUGGAAGUCCAGCCCGACUAUGAAGGAGACCGUGUCAGACGUUAGCCGGCAUGGUGAUGAUGCUCAUCGCAGAUAUUCAUGAAUGAGGCUUCACAGUGUUCCAGGUUUCUGGAUACAGGCAACCCUGGGGAUUGGGGUGUUGCAGGGAAUGGGACCAUGGAGAGCCGACAGAAGAUGAAUACCAACCCAGCUGCUCUUAGGCUUCCCUAGGAAGCAGGAUGACUGCAAGAAGAGGAAUCCCAGCUAGGCAAGAGACAGCAGUAAAUAUAAUGCCUCUAAACUGAUUCUGCUGGGCCAAACUGCAAUCAAAAUAUUAUUUCCUAUUCUCCAGGAACGUUCAGACAUGCUCGGCUCGGAGAGAGAAUAUUUCUCACAGGAGCGAGUUUUUGAUUUUUUGCAUUGUUGGCUCAGAACCAGAAUAUGAUCUAGGCUUCUGUAAUGCCCAUUGAGCCUGGCAAACUGAACAAACAUUGAUGCACCAACGAAGAAAACAGCUAGCAAGAACGAAGACACAAGUUCAGAAAUUAACAUUUUUUGACAGAUCCAUUCAGCAAACGACAGGCUGAUCAGUCAAAGGCGGUGAUCUCUAAACUUCCCUUCAACCACAGCUGCCACGUCACAGCACAAGAAGCAGGCACACAACACAAGAGGUACAACAGUCAGAGCAGACAUGAUGCGGACACCAGGAUCCCAAACUGCUGGUGUUAUAUAUGUCAUUUUUUAGAAACAUUCCAGUGGUACAGUUGAAAAUGAGGCCUAUUUAAGCAAAACAUUUCCAUUUCAAAUAGGAUGUACAGUUUAUGGGAUUAGAAGGAACACGCUUCACAAUCAACCUGAGCAUUCUGGGGAGGGCUUGAGAAACUAUUUUUGUACCACCGCACCCAAACGUAAUGGGUUUUGCACAGCACGACGAUCGCACUACUUUCUGCAGUCGUGGUUCUCAAACUUAUUUGAUCACGCCCCCCCCGGUGUUGUGUCUGUAAUAGUUUCUGCCACCAAUGGCAGCGCAGAAGUAAGGGUGACGUGGUAUGGCAUUAUCACCCUUACUUCUCUGCUGCUGCUGCUGGCUCUGCCUUCAGAGCUUGGCACCCGGCCGGCAGCCACCGCGCUCCCCCGGCCCGGCGCUGAAGGCGGUGCCAUUCCAUACCGCGUUUACUUCUCUGCUGCAGUUGGCAGUGGUGCUGUCUUCAGAGCCGGGUGUCUGGCCUGCAGCUGCUGCUCUCCGGAUGCCCAGCUCUGAAUGCACGCAGUAAGUUUUUUCCCCUCUAAAGCUUCUCGCACACCCACAGAAUAUAUUCCACACACCCCCCCUCCAGUUUGAGACCCCCAGUUCUAUAGGACUGUCUCAGGACUUCAGGGUAGGCUAGCAAGACGGUCGUUAGGGAUAUAUUCCAAGCUUAACUGACUGAUUUCUCACACAAAAAUGUGUGUGUGUAUAUACACACUUAAGGUUCUCCAGCCACCUGCUGCAGAAGUGGAGACCAACUGCUCUAUUUCUUUUCAUGGCUCUCUCUUGGAGGAAGUGCUUUCAUUCUUAAAAAACUACCCUUUACUUUGGUUGCUUCAUACCAUGGGGCCUUGCCGCUGUGAGCUUUACUGGCCCCAAAGACUGCCUCUGACUCACAUGAACCUUCAGAAAUAUUCAACGAGCUAUGUGCAUAAGUCUUUAUUUUAAAGCUACUCAUCUAUUUGCCAUUAGGUUUUCAACUCCAUGCUUUACUUCAGGAAUUAUGGAUGAAACUUUUGCUUGCUGUCCCCAUCGUGUAAUAACAGUUCAGACUAUUGCUCCACAACAUCUUUAAAUUAAAAUAUUAAAUCCACAAGAAGGUGAGGAAAUUAUACCCAUCUCCAACAAAACAGUUUUCUUUGGUAUUCUUGUAAAUCAGUUCACUAAACAUUGAUUUAGAAAGAGACACAAAGAAGAGAGGAGUGUUGUGUGUCUGCCUGUCGGUAGAUGGACUAAUUAUUUCCUGUCCUCAUAGCAGUAGGCUGUACAUUUGUAGUUAUAAAGCCAACUAUCUCAAUAACAUGCCAAAUGACAAAACACGUGCAUCUGUGCUGUAGAAUACUACAGUAAGCAGUGUUUAGAAACAGUUAUGUUUCAUCAGAGAAAGCCUCUUGAUCUGACAUGCAGUUUCACCCCCUUCCUGACUCAGAAAGCACCUACUAUACCAUAUGGAUCCGCUUACAUAUUUUAAUCCAUGGACAGAGGAAAAGCCAUGUGUAUAGGGUCCAUUUUCUGUGGAUUCAGCUUACUAACACAGAUGGCAUAUAAAAGCUGUGAUUGCUCACACCACUGCUUUGCAAGUGAAUCAUUACUGGCUUCAAUAUAUGCUUGCUCUGAGUCAUAUGAAACAGCAGACAGUGGCAGUAUCUAAAUCGUGCUUGUCAUAAAUAUAAAGGGAAGGGUAAACACCUUUAAAAUUCCUCUUGGCCAGAGGAAAAACCCUUUACCCUGUAAAGGGUUAAGAAGCUAGGAUAACCUUGCUGGCA